GAUGAACGCUGGCGGCGUGCCUAAUACAUGCAAGUCGAGCGAACAGACGAGGAGCUUGCUCCUUUGACGUUAGCGGCGGACGGGUGAGUAACACGUGGGUAACCUACCUAUAAGACUGGGAUAACUUCGGGAAACCGGAGCUAAUACCGGAUAAUAUUUCGAACCGCAUGGUUCGAUAGUGAAAGAUGGCUUUGCUAUCACUUAUAGAUGGACCUGCGCCGUAUUAGCUAGUUGGUAAGGUAACGGCUUUCCAAGGCAACGAUACGUAGCCGACCUGAGAGGGUGAUCGGCCACACUGGAACUGAGACACGGUCCAGACUCCUAAGGGAGGCAGCAGUAGGGAAUCUUACGCAAUGGGCGAAAGCCUGACGGAGCAACGCCGCGUGAGUGAUGAAGGUCUUCGGAUCGUAAAACUCUGUUAUUAGGGAAGAACAAACGUGUAAGUAACUGUGCACGUCUUGACGGUACCUAAUCAGAAAGCCACGGCUAACUACGUG
Molecule: ribosomal RNA, 497 nt
Filed under: uncultured bacterium
Lineage: Bacteria
Description: partial 16S ribosomal RNA
Rfam family: Bacterial small subunit ribosomal RNA
Source: RNAcentral